CGUGCACUGGUGGGGUCCCUCGGCUGGGCCUGCGGGUGUCGAGCUGAAACCAGAAGUCCAACAUCCCCCAAGGGGUCCUGGAUUGCGAGAGGGUGCAGGCCAAGCCGAGGGACCCCACCAGUGCACG
This is a non-coding RNA of Myotis brandtii (Brandt's bat), 127 nucleotides long. The record is from Rfam. NCBI's taxonomy places the organism in Eukaryota, Metazoa, Chordata, Mammalia, Chiroptera, Vespertilionidae.